Molecule: ribosomal RNA, 492 nt
Filed under: uncultured bacterium
Lineage: Bacteria
Description: partial 16S ribosomal RNA
Rfam family: Bacterial small subunit ribosomal RNA
Source: RNAcentral
AGUGAACGCUGGCGGUAGGCCUAACACAUGCAAGUCGAACGGCAGCACAGUAAGGGCUUGCUCUUACGGGUGGCGAGUGGCGGACGGGUGAGGAAUACAUCGGAAUCUACUUUUUCGUGGGGGAUAACGUAGGGAAACUUACGCUAAUACCGCAUACGACCUACGGGUGAAAGCAGGGGAUCUUCGGACCUUGCGCGAUUGAAUGAGCCGAUGUCGGAUUAGCUAGUUGGCGGGGUAAAGGCCCACCAAGGCGACGAUCCGUAGCUGGUCUGAGAGGAUGAUCAGCCACACGAGAACUGAGACACCGUCCAUACUCCUACGGGAGGCAGCAGUGUGGAAUAUUGGACAAUGGGCGCAAGCCUGAUCCAGCCAUACCGCGUGUGUGAAGAAGGCCUUCGGGUUGUAAAGCCCUUUUGUUGGGAAAGAAAAGCAGCAGGUUAAUACCCCGCGGUUCUGACGGUACCCAAAGAAUAAGCACCGGCUAACUUCGUA